UUCAAGCCCAGGGAUGUUGUGAGCUUUAAAGUCCAAAAUAUGAAAGUGUUUAAAGUGAUGUCUGUGAACAGAAGGGAGGACAAGAGAACUCGGAUGAGGGUGAGGUUGGACUCAGGCAUUUGAAGUCAUACUUCCUCUGGGCGCGUUUCCUCUCUUGGAAAAGGGAGCACGUACCACAUUUGGAUGACAGCGGGCAUCCAGGGCGUUGCCCCGCACACGGGAGGCUCCGUCCACGUCUGUUGACUUUCCCGAGAGGCCCCUCUUGCUCUGCAGUCAGGAGCCCAGACUCAAAUCCCUGCCAGCUUGCGGGGCUGGGCAAGGCGCCUCAGCCCUGAGCCUCUUUCCUUGUCUUGAAAGAUGGGCUCGUAGAACCCACCUUACCGGUUGUCCUGAGGACUAAAAGAGAGAAAGGAUGUGAGUCCCUGAGACAUGGUUGGUGAGUGUUGAGUGGAAGAAUGAGAAGAAACUUAUCUGGACAGAUCUGGUUUAUCGUCACCAUCAUAGGUUGGCCAGAAGCCCCGUGUUCUCACUCCUGCUGAGCCCCCUGGGGUGGCUGAUGCUGAAAGGGAAGAGCAGCGCCCCCGGAAGAUGCCUGUGCCCUGGAUUCUCCAUCACACGCCUUUCGGUCACCUGGGUCUUCUCUCAGCUGCUCUGUGUCUUAGUGUGGCUGCCAGCCUUGUGCAGGGCCACGGACACACACACUCUACGAACUGCUAUGAAAGUUUCAGCCCUAAAUUCCAGGAGACGAGAGAGGACAGAAGGAGUUUGCCACCCUCUGCCACUGUGUGUCUCUGAGAUGCCAUGUCCCCUCCCUGCAGCAGGGGCCCCAGGUCCCAAUGCUGUGCCUGGCCCUCAGCUGGACACUUCUACGGGAUUCCCAGCCAGUGCCUGGUACUUCCUCCCAGGUGGGCAAGGAGCUCUAACAAUCCACAUGUGUCCUCUCCGGCACCCAGCAUCUUUGCAUCAAAAUCAGAGGAAAUCAGGACACAGACACACAGAGGGAGACCGUGUGAAGACACGGGGCGAAGACGGCCGUCUGCAAGCCCAGGAGAGAGGACCCCGAUGGAAUCCACCCUGAGACACCUUGAUCGCAGACUCCCAGCCUCCAGAACCGUGAGAGAAUCAAUGUCUGUCGUCUGAGCCCCCCAGCAUGGUCCUUUGUUGAGGCUGGCCCAGCAAACGGCCACACCAAUGACAGAAAGAGGCUGCUGGAGGGGGCGCGAGAAGGUAAAGGUCUCCCUUCCCAGGAUCAUGACACAGACGCUGGACCACGUUCUCAUGAAAACUCUCCAAGUCCUUUGAAAUGGUUACUUUUCCUUUUGUUUAAAAAAUUUUAUUAAAAAAGUGACAUAUGGGGGCUGGCCCCGUGGCCGAGUGGUUAAGUUCGCGCGCUCUGCUGCAGGCAGCCCAGUGUUUCGUUGGUUCGAAUCCUGGGCGCGGACAUGGCACUGCUCAUCAGACCACGCUGAGGCAGCGUCCCACAUGCCACAACUAGAAGAACCCACAACGAAGAAUAUACAAGUAUGUACCGGGGGGCUUUGGGGAGAAAAAGGAAAUAAUAAAAUCUUUAAAAAAAAAAAAAAAGUGACAUAUGCUCUUUAAAGGAAUAGUGGAAAAUAGAGGGGCUCAAUGGAGAGGGGCAGUCACCAAUAAGCCAUUGCUGCCCCAGUCCAACCCCCAUUAGCAUUUCUGGGGCUCUGGCCUUCUCACUCCAUCACCCUUGGUGACUCAGCUCGGGUGCCACCGCUUACUGGAAGCCCUCCUUGGUUUCUUCCCCCUGACCUCAUGCCCCUCCUAGCACCUGCAUUUACCUCCAUCACUACCUCAACAAUGGCCCCAUAGCUCUGCUUGUUCUCUCUGUGUUUCCAGCUGCCUUUUCAGCUGGGAGUUUGAGGCGCCAACUCCAGUGUCCAGCUUCUCUCCAGGAGGGCAUCCGAGGAGAAUAAAUCAAACUGAUGUUUUAUUUUGGGUUCUGUGUGGACAGUGGUUGUCCUCCAAAACGUUCUCGGAUUGCUACUUGCAAUGCUGUCUAAAUCCAUUUAUCCACCUGCACUUUAGGGGCAAAGGCUGGUAUAUAAUUAGUCUUUCAGGAACUGUGGGCUUCCCUUGGGGUUCAAGCCUCGUAUCCCCAGGGCUCUCACUUCCUGACCCAAAACUGCGGCUCCCGUUCUGAUGAGGGAGGGUGCUCAGAGGAACAGGAACCCGGAUAUUUGAAAGGAAGCGAGGCAAAGCUGGAGCGUGUGGUCCCUGUACAUCUUGGUGUCUCUUCAGCCAGGGAGGGGAGGCUUGGUGCUGGCGCCUGGUGUGCAAGCCCCCGGUCACACGGCUUUAAGGACAUGGCUGAACUGUGCUUUUCUCUUGUCAAAUAUUUAUUGCUCUCAUCCUGAUUCCGGGUCAAAUUACUGUUGGAAAAAAAUGUUUCAAUCACAGAGGCUGAAUCAGUUUGAAAACACAACGGUUCCCAUCUGCUGCAGGACUGUAGACUAACCCACAGAUCAUGCUGGAGGCCAGGACUGAGGUUUGAAGAAGGACGACGACUGAGAAUCGGGAAAUAAACACAUGGGCACCGAGGCAGCGAAGGACCGGCUGGCACUGCAGGACGGCCGUCCUCCUGCUCCCCCUCCUUUCCCCCUCCUCCCCCUCCUUUCCCCCCUCACUCUCCUUCUCUCAAUCUCCCUCUUCCUCCCUCUCCUCUCUCUCUCUCUCUCUCUCUCUUUCUUAACUGGCUUGCUCCUUUCCUUUCUGUCUCCUCAGCCAGCCUUCCCCCUACCCCCGAUCCCCGACUUUCAGUCAUGAGUCCUUGUCUUAUAGAUCUAUAAGAUUGGGGGGCCCUUAGCAAUCAACUGAUCAAUUCAACUGUCCCCUUGUUUUAGGCUUUUCCUUGUAUUGCCUUUUUUUUUUAUUGCAAUAGAAAAAUGCAUAACAAAAUCUACCAUUUUAAAGUGUACAGCUCAGGAGUGUUAAGUAUGUUUACACUGUUACGUCAACCAUCUCAUUUUACAGAUGGGAAGCCUGAGGCUCAGAGAGGACAUAAGCCACAGGACGGAACCAGCAGAGCAAGAACUCACCCUGGGCCUGUGGAUGGCCUCCUGGGUCCUGAGGAGGCAGGACACACCUAAGGGCAGAGCAGGGUGGGGAGGGAGAGGCCCCGCAUGAGCAGAAGAGGCUGGGUCGUAUUCAGACCGUGGUCUGAGCUCUGAUCCGUCCUCCUCCUCAGCUGGAAAAGGUCUAAAAUAUCAAGUGAAACCUUGAAAACGUGAUGCUAAGUGAAGAAGCCACAUACAAAAGGUCACACGGUGUAAAUUCCAUUUGUGUGAAAUUCCCAGAACAGGUAAACCCACAGGGACGGAAUGGGGCUGGUGGUUGCCAGGGGUGGCGGAGGGGGCAGUGGGGAUAAUGGUCAAUGGAUGCAGACCUUUAUUAUGGGGUGAUGACACUGUUUCAGAACUAGAUAGAGGUGGUGGUCGCAUAACACGGUGAAGGCAUGGAAUGAAUUGUUCACUUUCAAAAAUGGUUAACUUUCUGUCAGGUGAAUGUCACCUCAGUUGAAAACGUGUUUUUCCACCAGAUUCUUAGUGUGUCCUAUAGAUGACAAAAUAUCAAAUGACGGUCGUUUUUACUGACAGAGUUGUGUGCGUCAUGUCACACUCCAAGGAGACCUGGCCUUUGGUUGCCCUGAGGACUUCAGAGACCGCUGUGACAGUGGCUUGUAUGUGGCUGCAGGUGACAGCAUGCUCCCUUCUCUGGAUGUUUUCUUGCCUUCUCCCCUCUGCAGGCCCUUGACACCGGCCGCUCAUCCCUCAGGGCUUAGCUCAGGCAUCACCUCUUUCGAGAAGCCCUCCUUGAUUCCUUCCCCCCCGGUUACAUGCACUUGCAUGCUCCCUGUGUUUGCUGUGACCAUUCCUGUGAGCAGUGACCCAUGCACCUGUCUGCACCCCACCCUGUCCAUGUACCCCUGAGGUCAGGGACCCUGUGGAGGCAGAGUGGGGAGGAAACUACGUUGUAGAUCUUGGUGCCACAUUGGCCUGGGUUCAAAACCUGGCUCAGCCAACUUAUUAGCUCUGCGACCUUGGGACAAGUUGCUUAGCCUUCAGGAACAUCAGUUUCAGGUGUAGAGAAUGAAGAUAAUGUUUUCCUUAUGGGGCUGCGCCAAGGAGCCUUGGUUGUAUAAUCUCAUUGCCUGCGAGAUGCUUAGCUCCGCCUCCUCCUCGUUGUUAGGAUUAUUAGAUUGCUGCCUGUUUUUCCGUAGUUUCAGCCCUUUCUGAAUAUUUUCAAACCAUCUUGCUGACCAUUUGGACAACAAACUGGGCAGAAUGCCUCACCGAUGGGGCAGCCUGGUGUCCAGAGGGAGGGUGGCAGUGGCACGGGAGGGGCGAGCUGGGGGAGCUGAGGCAGCGAGGAGGUGAGUGGGGGGUGAGUGUUUGGGGACAGCGACGCGUGCUGUUGUGUGUGGACAGGAGAGGAUAUUUAGGCUGACUCCUACCUCUAGCCGUGUGAUGCGGCCCGAGACUCGCCCUCUCUGAGCCUCCACUUGCGCUUCUGUAAGUUGAGACUCUGGAGACUAUUUCCCUGGAGUGUUGCGAGGGUGAAAUGAAGGCCCUGGUGGGCUGACCUGAUGCAGAGAGGGGGGUCACAGGAAGCUCUCAAUCACUGUGGAUACGCGGAGCACCCCACCGCGACUUCUUGCUUGUGUAACGUACGUGCUCUAUGGGAGAAUAAUGUCACGCAACAGAAAUAGAAAUAUACCAGCUGGGUCCUGAGCAGAUUCUUCAGUAAGUGAGCUUUCAAGGACUCCAAAUUCCUACCCAGGUUCUUAAAAUGAUUUGCAGACAAGCAGGAAGUUCCAUUCCUGUUGGCAUGGCUGGUGCCUGGUCUUGUAGGCGGAGGGGAGCUUGCAAGGGGCAGGCGAGGCCAGACGCAGGAAGUGGUGCCCGCCCUUGGAUUCAGUCGGACCACAGGUGUGGGCCACGACCCCUCGGCUUUUGGAGGGUGAGAGGGAGGGGUGAGGAGCGUGACCAGGAUCAUUCUCAGGGGCCAGGUGAUAGUUGAGUCCCCUGGUUGUGCAACCUUGGAACAAGGUGGGGGACAUGGGGUUCCCCUCUCCGGGCUGAGGAGGCCAGAGCAAGCAGCUCCCUGAAGAAUCCAAAUUCUAGGGUGGGAGUGAAAUUAAAGUGUUACAUGCACAAGCGAUAAAGAAAUGUCACCAGGAUGAGCCCAAAAUCGUGAGCUGAUCCCUCACUUCCCUCCUCUCACUUCCCUCGGGCCUCACCGUGAUGGAAGGAAACACACUGCAAAUUCGAGACCAGCUCGGAACUCCCGGAAAUGCUCCAGCCGCUGGAGCUCGGCUUCUCCUUCUGUCGAAUGGGCACAAUCCGCCCACUUCAGCAGCUUCCUGUCUGAGAUGCUAGGGGAGGUCCCUGGCACGGGGCCCGCUUCACAGGCAUCCAGUCCCUGCUGUUCCUCAUGCUUCUUUCUUACACGCGGCGCAAUCACUCACCUCUCCAGGCCUCAGUUUCCUUAUCUGGAAAAUGGGGGAGGCAUGUUGUCCACCUUCCCACUGAGGGAAGCCUGUGAGCUAGAAGACAGUAGGGGGACGCCUCUGUCCCCGCUGAGCCCUGGAAGUGCUGAGUAGGGGCUGGGGGGGAUGGAGAUGUCCGAGGAGCUGACCCUGCCCUGGAGACUUGUUGCCCCUCCCUCGGCCACCCUCCUGGUUGGUCUGCUCCCCGUUCUCCGUGGCUCUCAAGCUCUGAGAAAAUAGGAGACCCAAGCUCGGCUCAAAUCGCACCUGUCACCUCUGAGGCUCCCUCAGGGGUCCACGGGCUGACCGUCCUCCCUGGGUUGAAGAAACGUGUCAUCUUGGUUCUUCUCUGGGUCAACGUUCUCUGCAUUAGACAAGACAGAUCCUGGAGCCUUUCUCCUCAUGAUGGGAAAUCAGUCAGUCCGUCUCCAGCAGGUAUUCACCGAACAAAACACCUAGGACAAUGUUUCUGCUCCAGGUGUGUACGAACUGGCUACAGUACCCAUACUGUAUACGGUGUUUGGAACAGUGGGGGGUACAUGAAACUUUGUAGAUGUGUGUAAAUAUGUGUAUACCUCCAAGAGUUUCUUCACCAGGUCCCUAUGGCGUACAGUUCAGGCCACUGCCGUGUCUUUCUUGGAGCGUAACAGUAAAUGUUCAUAUAGACACAUACACAUAUAAGAGUUGGAAAUGCAAAGGCAUCAGAGAGGUUAAGUAUCUUGCCCAAAGUCACACAGCAGGUAAGUGGCAGAGCUGGGAUCUGAACCCCGACAGUCCGGCUCCGCUCACCAGCAACAGCCUCUGAUUUGCCCUUCUGCCUGCAGAAUCAGCCCCUCCAACCACCUUCCACACACUGAAUCGACCAUCCCCUGCUUAAAGGGGCGGCCUCUCGCCUGUGGGAUGGCAGUGAAACCCCUUGGGCAGGUUCCGCUGCCCUUCCCUGCCUUGUUUUUAGAAGUGGCCCCUUUGCAACAUACAUUUGAGAUCAAUGUCUCUCAGUCUUUUUUCGUAUAAAGCCUCCUUUAUAAUAUCAAAAUAAUUCCUGAGUCGAGCAUGACAAUAAUUCUAUUUUUAGUAGCUACUGAUUGAAAAAAAAUCUACCAAGAAAAAGCUACCAUGAAUUCAGCAAUACUUUUAAAUAAAUUUGAUAAGUUGUUCUAUGUGAUAAAUUAUUUUUUCAGUUUAUAAACCAGGCUGGAUUCAGAGGUAAAUUCUCAGACUUCUAUAAUAAAUCCUUGGAUCCAGAGAUCCUUAGCCCUCAGCUUGGAAACCACUUUUUUUCCCCCCUUCCAAAAUCUUGCAGGUUCCUGAGGCACAUUUGAACAUGCUGAUCCCUUGUCCUGGAGUGACCCUCCCUAAGGACCCGGCACGAGCAUUGCCUCCUCUGGGAAGUCCUCCCUGACUCGUCGCCCCACCAUGGCCAGUGAACGUCCCUGCCCCAUCCUCUCUGCACCGUGGCCCGUUCCAUCCGUGCCCACUUCACACUGUCUUGUCAUUGUUUGUUGGCAAACACUGUUGUCUAAUUUGGCCAUUGAGAACAAGAGCUUUGGCAUCUACGGGACCCAGGUUCCUGGCUUGGCUGAGGCGUCUCCUAGCUCUGGAAACUUGGGCAAGUCCCUCCGCUAGUUUUGGGCAUCAGAUUCUUCAUUUGUAAAAUGCAGAUGCUCAUACCGCCUGUCUGCCCAGCAUCCCAUAACUCGUUCUGGUAACAGAGACUGGCUUUUCCCCUCCCUCCUCCCUUCAUCCUUCUUCCUCCCUUCCUCCUUUCCUUCCUCCCUUCCUUCCUUCCUACCUACUUUUGCAUCAGGAAUUCCUUCCAUGCGGUUUGAUAGGCUGACAGUGGGGGGCGGGUGUUCCAGACGUGGCCCAUAAGAGAACUCCAUCCCCUGGUCAUAGUGAUUGGUCUAAAGAUGAGUGUGUAAACCCAAAUGAACCUUUUCUAGACCUGCUUGGAACUCUCUGUAAGAAAAUGGGAAGGGAUUGUCUCUUCACACAGGGGUUGCUAAGCAGGUGGGAUGCAGUCCUAAAGGAGUGGGCAGCCAUCUUAGCCACCACAUAGAGAGAAUCUGUCUGAGAAAUGGAGAGAAAGGUGAAACCUUGAUUAUAUCAUAUGAGCUCCUUGAUCCAGCCAUUCCUGAAGACAGAUGCACAUCUGGGCUUCCAGUUACAAAAGCCAAUAAAUCCUCCUCCCCCCACACACAUACCCCUUUUUUAAGAACUUAAGUCAGCAUGACACAAGUUUAUCCCACUUGCAGCAAAAAGACUCCUGACUAUGAUAGUCGAUUAUAUUGACGGUUCCUGAUGAACUACUCUUUUUACUAUUCAUGCCCUUGUGUUGUCACCUCCUCUUGACUUCCGGUAGGGCUUGCAGUUUGAUGUAAUUAGUGGAAUCGGAUGGAAGUGAUGCUGUGCCAGUUCUGGGCCUAAGCCUGAGGAAGCCUGAAAGCUUCUGUGCUCUCGGGAGCCCUGAGCUGCCAUGUAAGUGCAGGCACCCUGCUGGAGAGACCACGUGGAGAUGCCACAUGAGGAGGGAGAGGCCCAGACACCACGCAGAGAGAUAGCAGCCCAGCUUCCCCGUGUCCUAGCUGAGCCCAGUCCCCGUCUCCCUGCCAGCCGGAUGCAGCCACAGGAGGGAGCACAGACAAAAGCAGAAGAACCUCUCAGUUGAGCCCCGUUCAGAUGACAGAAUUUGGAGAGCUGAUGAAAGGAUUGUUGUCUUAAGCCCCGGUGUUCUGGUGUAGCCUGUUACACAGCCACAGAGAACUGAAGCCCUGACAAACAUGCGGCUUCACGGGGUUGUUGUGGGAACGGGGUAAGAAGCGUGUAAAUUACCUGGCACCUGGCUGGCAUGUGGGAGGUGCUCCUCAAGCAUCAACUAUUAGUUGUCUUCUUGUGGCCGUUGCUACAUGUUUGCUGCCUAAAUUAGAUUAUGUACUUAUUGGGGCAACACGUGUGUCCUACGCAUUGCUGUAUCUCCCGGGAUGCAGCACAGGACCGGGCAUAUGCUAGGCAUUCUGACAACGUUGCUGUCGAUGAACAAAUGAAUGGACAGCAAGGGGAAGUGUUUGCAAAAUGCGAAACCCGGACCCUUCUGCACAGUUUGUCUUAGCCCAUAUUUUUUGAUCUGAACAUGCUUCAGGUGAAAUUCUAUUCAAAGGAUAUGUGGACCACUGAGAUCUCCAGGACAACUGGUCUCCUCGUAGCAACUCAACGAAGCGGGCUGAGGGAGGCUCCCCCACCCUGUGGCUGCGCCAUCUGGAACACGGGCUCUCAUUGGUUGGUGCACCAGGGGAACACAGGGCGUGGAGAAUACCACAUUGGCUCUUAAAUUCUUUCCCAUAGAAGGGACGCGCCUUACUUCCAGUUACUUUUCAUUGGCCAAAGCCAGUCACCCGGCCCCAGCUAACUUCAAGAGGCAGGAAGUGCAGUCCUCCGCUGUGGCCUGGAGGAGAGGAGAAUCAGAAUGCCAGUGAGCAGCAAGGAUGUCUGCUCUUCCAUCUCCGCACCACUCGUCCCAGGGGGCAAGGCCACGUAGUACCCAUGUGGCCACUCGGGACUCACACACGUCUGACAGGGGGCUGUUCUCAAAGAGGGAACAGUUUUAAACCAGGGAGCCACCCCAGGAGAUGCUUAUGAAAUAAGGGCAAGACAGCCGACAGCUGUGCCGCACAGAUUAGCUGUGGUGAUAGAGAAUAACAGGCCUAUUACCCCACGCGUCUCAUGUGACAGAGAGAAAAUCAAGAUCUACUAAUAAAGUGCCUUGCCUAGGCCUUAGAGAUCAAUUAAUUUUUCUUUUAAAAAUUUAAUAUUUAUGAGAUAAAGUCGGUGUGGCAAAAUGGUAACAGUAAUUCUUAGCAGUGGGUAUGUCAUUCAGUGAAAUUCCUUCAACUUUUCUGUACGUUUGAAAUUUUCAUAAUAAAAUGUUGGCAAAUUUAAAACUACUUUUAGAAAAGUUAAUAGGUUUACAUGCUUCCGAAUCGAA
Molecule: long non-coding RNA, 9500 nt
Filed under: Equus caballus (horse)
Lineage: Eukaryota; Metazoa; Chordata; Mammalia; Perissodactyla; Equidae
Description: lncRNA (ENSECAG00000043038.2)
Source: RNAcentral